Molecule: long non-coding RNA, 514 nt
Organism: Culex quinquefasciatus (southern house mosquito)
Lineage: Eukaryota; Metazoa; Arthropoda; Insecta; Diptera; Culicidae
Exons: 3
Source: RefSeq, a predicted model, not a curated record
ACGUCUGGGUGGUAUGACCGCAUGACGUGCGGCCUGUUAAAAAAAUACGAUCAUAGCAACCGUUAAAUAUUCUGUUCUAUGAAAAUAUCUGUCACUAAUCAACUGUUUUUUUAUUGAGUUGGCUUUUUCCUGCUUAUAAAAAGAAAUUUGCUGUUCACCCGAAGCUAAAAUGUUAUACCCUGAAGAUGAUUUGAUUACAUAUGACGCAUUGAACUCUGCAUCCGAUUCAUCGGAAGACGAGUCGAGCUACGAGGAUCUACUGGAUCGAUGUGAUGGGGCCGAUUCUGCUUCGUACCUCGUAAACGAAUUUUUCGCGCGUGAUCAGUCGGGGAAUAGAGAAGAGACGAACAACGCAAGCGAACCACGUGCUUCCGGCUUUAAACCAAGAUCGGUUUCCAAGAGAAAGAAAGGGUUGUCUACAUUGAACGAGCCGUCAGGAAGCAAGAGGCAAAAAGAAAAGCCGUUUAAAGGCGAAUAUAUUCGAAAAUCAAACUUCAUUUCAACAAUUAUUUCA